UACGAGGACCCCGAGCGUUAUCCGGGUUUAUUGGGCGUAAAGAGUGCGCAGGAGGUCAGGUGCGUCAGGCGUUAAAUGUCUCAGCUUAACUGGGUCACCGCGUCUGAUACGGCCAGACUAGAGCAUGUUAGAGAUUACAAGAACUUAUGGUGUAGGGGUGAAAUCCGUUGAUAUCAUAGGGAAUACCAAAGGCGAAGGCAUGUAACUGGAACAUUGCUGACUCUCAUUGCACGAAAGCGUGGGGAGCAAAAAGG
Molecule: ribosomal RNA, 254 nt
Filed under: uncultured bacterium
Lineage: Bacteria
Description: partial 16S ribosomal RNA
Rfam family: Bacterial small subunit ribosomal RNA
Source: RNAcentral